GUGCUCACUUUGGCAGCACAAAUACUAAAAUUGGACCGAUACAGAGAAGAUUAGCAUGGCUCCUGUGUAAGGAUGACACGUAAAUUUGUGAAGUGUUCCAAAUUUUU
Molecule: small nuclear RNA, 107 nt
Organism: Ursus maritimus (polar bear)
Lineage: Eukaryota; Metazoa; Chordata; Mammalia; Carnivora; Ursidae
Source: Ensembl